CAGCCACUGUCAUUCCAAUCACCG
This 24-nucleotide non-coding RNA is filed under the name Arabidopsis thaliana (thale cress). The record is from RNAcentral. Lineage: Eukaryota; Viridiplantae; Streptophyta; Magnoliopsida; Brassicales; Brassicaceae.